GACGGAGGGUGCUAGCGUUGUUCGGAAUCACUGGGCGUAAAGGGCGCGUAGGCGGCCUCAGGUGUCGGAUGUGAAAGCCCGGGGCUCAACCCCGGAGGUGCAUCCGAAACUCUGGGGCUGGAGGUCGGAAGAGGAGGGUGGAAUACCCAGUGUAGAGGUGAAAUUCGUAGAUAUUGGGUGGAACACCGGUGGCGAAAGCGGCUCUCUGGUCCGGACCUGACGCUGAGGCGCGAAAGCGUGGGGAGCGAACAGG
RNAcentral lists this ribosomal RNA (253 nucleotides) under uncultured bacterium. RNAcentral's name for it is "partial 16S ribosomal RNA". It matches the Rfam family "Bacterial small subunit ribosomal RNA", at positions 524 to 776 of the family's 1533-position model. The record is from RNAcentral.